This 1959-nucleotide long non-coding RNA is filed under the name Sus scrofa (pig). RNAcentral's name for it is "lncRNA (ENSSSCG00040012999.1)". Lineage: Eukaryota; Metazoa; Chordata; Mammalia; Artiodactyla; Suidae. The record is from RNAcentral.
UAGACUUGACUGCGUGGGCACAGAAGUCAAGUGGUGGUGGAGAGAGUGUAUUAUCCAGUUUGUAUGUCUUUCAGUCAGCUUUUUCCUCCACGCGUCUAAACAUACCGCGCACCUGCUGGUAGGAACUUUGCUGUGUAGACAGGGGUGUCCAUAGCCCCACUGUGAGUAGGAGCAAAAAACUGGAAACUUCCAUCAAUAAGAGCAUAAACAUGGGAUAUUCAUAGGACGCAAUAUUAUAUGCCAGUAAGUCAAGACUGAACCUAGAAAUGUGAUGAAGCAGAAAGAGGGAGAUUUAUGUGACUUUGGCAGUUUAUCUCCAGCAGGGCAAGUUUUCUAAGCUUGGAAAAAAGAUGGAUUUGCCCUCUUAGGUGUGGGGCUUUAGUUGGGAACUCACAUAGGACAUCAGUCAACUCUGUUGGAUUUGCCCGUCGUCUGGAUGGACUGGCAGGAAGACAAGUUCAGGUGGCAGCAGCUAAUACAUUUGCCUUUAAAUGUUUUCGGUAAAUGUCACCCAGGAAGCUGUGUGCAACCCUUAAAGAGAUCCUUCAAGGAGCUACCGUAGGGGUCAAGUGCAGAACCACAGUACUCUGAGAAUAAGGUCAGUAUUGGGCCCUCUGGUACCAGUAACGGGCACCAGGAAACUGGGCUUCUGGCCUCAAGUCUGCAGUUGUGUUGGGGUGUGGGGGGGGAGGUAGCAAGGUAAGUUAAAAUGCAACAGAGGAGUUCCCUCAUGGCUCAGUGGGUUAAGGGUCCCACUGCAGAGGCUUAGGUCACUGUGGGACUGUGAGUUCCAUCCCUGGCCUGGCACAGUGGGUUGAGGAUCCAUGGUUGCCGCAGCUGGGACGUAGGUCACAGGUGUGCCUUGGAUUUGACCUCUGGCCCCUGGAACUUCUUCAUGCCAUGGCUGUGGCCAAAAAAAAGAAAAAAUAAAGCCAUAGAGCUCUUUUGCCAAAAUUUAGCUUUUUUUUUUUUUCCCCUUUGUUAAGCUUUCCACUUGUUACUGUUAGUUUUAAAAAGUAGAUUUUAGGGUUCUGAACAAGGUCACCACGAUCUUUGUUGCCGGUUCUUCACUGCUGUUGUGAACAGUGGAGUUUGGGGUUCUCUACUCUGCUGUUUGCACUGAUUUCUGUCCAAGGCGGGGAGUGGGUGACGUGGGUGUGAUAUUACUGGUCCCCAUCAAUAAGCAGCAUCCAGUCCAGACCCCUUCAGGUUUGGCUGCGGGUCUUCAGAGUUGGAAGCUGCUAACCUGCCCCUUUCGUGGGACCACCUUGGAAGUAGGGGUGCAGCUUCCCACUCAGGUGCUAGCUUUUCAUCUGCCCCGAGUGCUCUCAGUUCUUUCGGAGUAAGUAAAUCCAGGACAGCCUGGCCCUGCGACACGUGGUGGUCCUCUUCGGCGUGCCCGACCCCCAAAGGCCAGCACUGGACGGGGGCCCUGGGAUGGAGGUUUACGUGACCAGGGCAGAAAAUCAGCGAAGAGUCCACUCUUCCUUUCACCUGGACUCUUUUGAAGACCCCUCCCUGUUGACAUCCUGCAAACCCCGCUCACGCUUCCCCUGCCUCGGGCAUUUGGUGAGAGAAUCGGGGAUGGCUUUCCACUCUCUCUCAGGCACAGAGGGUCAGAUCAGUGCGGCCCGGGAGGCAGAGGUCGGUGAGCUAGCCUCUGUGCCAAGUGGGCGCUGCCAGGUGCAGAAAUCCGUGUGAAUUUGGUCUGCAUCCAGCCUCUGUCACUGGCCACUCGCUGGGAUUCUCCGCGACCUGCAGGGUGUCCGGCAGAGCCGGGCAGAGAGCCCCGAGGAGGUGGCUUUUCCUCUCUGCUGCUCGCGUCCCGGCUCCGCUUCCCCUCUGGCUGCCACUUUGGAGGAUGGUAGUCACGGGCUGGAUGGGUUGGGUGUCCGCAUGGAGCCUGAUGUUGUCCAGGGAGCUUCUCUAUGCCUUUGGAGCUCGGAUUCCGGGUUGCGA